AACGCAAAUUGCACUCCCUGGUAUUCCGGGGAGUAUGCCUGUUUGAGGGUCGUUAGAAUAAAAAUCGAGGCGUCGCUCUUUUUUUAAGGGUGAUCGCGUCGGAAUUGAGCCGUCUUUCAAAUGUUAAUUCAUGUCAAAGUGGCUUAAAAUUCAUCCAUCCGGUACGAUUAAAGCGUAUUUAAGAUCAAUUUUGAUUAAGAACGCGCGAUGACGGACCAUCUCAUGUAGUACGUUUGACCUGGCGUCGUCAGGAUCAUUCGUAUACGAUACUCAAACUUUUGACCUCAAAUCAGGUAAGAAUACCCGCUGAACUUAA
This 316-nucleotide non-coding RNA is filed under the name uncultured Glomus. RNAcentral's name for it is "eukaryotic LSU rRNA". The stretch from base 1 to 52 matches the Rfam family "5.8S ribosomal RNA", at positions 103 to 154 of the family's 154-position model. Lineage: Eukaryota; Fungi; Glomeromycota; Glomeromycetes; Glomerales; Glomeraceae. The record is from RNAcentral. RNAcentral also lists the same sequence under 1 other name.